GUAGGUGGCAAGCGUUGUCCGGAAUUAUUGGGGCGUAAAGCGCGCGCAGGCGGUUCUUUAAGUCUGAUGUGAAAGCCCACGGGCUCAACCGUGGAGGGUCAUUGGAAACUGGAGAACUUGAGUACAGAAGAGGAAAGCGGAAUUCCACGUGUAGCGGUGAAAUGCGUAGAGAUGUGGAGGAACACCAGUGGCGAAGGCGGCUUUCUGGUCUGUAACUGACGCUGAGGCGCGAAAGCGUGGGGAGCAAACAGGAUCAGAUACCCUGGUAGUCCACGCCGUAAACGAUGAGUGCUAAGUGUUAGGGGGUUUCCGCCCCUUAGUGCUGCAGCUAACGCAUUAAGCACUCCGCCUGGGGAGUACGGCCGCAAGGCUG
This 373-nucleotide ribosomal RNA is filed under the name uncultured organism. RNAcentral's name for it is "partial 16S ribosomal RNA". It matches the Rfam family "Bacterial small subunit ribosomal RNA", at positions 527 to 896 of the family's 1533-position model. The record is from RNAcentral.